AGUCUUAUAUUCAAUAAUGAUAUAAAAUUGCAAAUUUUAAGGGGUAUAUUAUAAAAUACUAAGGCUU
RNAcentral lists this transfer RNA (67 nucleotides) under Graphium agetes. Its description in RNAcentral is "tRNA-Cys". Lineage: Eukaryota; Metazoa; Arthropoda; Insecta; Lepidoptera; Papilionidae. The record is from RNAcentral.